AUUGAACGCUGGCGGCAUGCCUUACACAUGCAAGUCGAACGGCAGCACGGGAGCAAUCCUGGUGGCGAGUGGCGAACGGGUGAGUAAUGUAUCGGAACGUACCUUUCAGUGGGGGAUAACGUAGCGAAAGUUACGCUAAUACCGCAUAUUCUGUGAGCAGGAAAGCAGGGGAUCGCAAGACCUUGCGCUGAUUGAGCGGCCGAUAUCAGAUUAGCUAGUUGGUGAGGUAAAGGCUCACCAAGGCGACGAUCUGUAGCGGGUCUGAGAGGAUGAUCCGCCACACUGGAACUGAGACACGGUCCAGACUCCUACGGGAGGCAGCAGUGGGGAAUUUUUGGACAAUGGGCGGCAAGCCUGAUCCAGCCAUGCCGCGUGAGUGAAGAAGG
Molecule: ribosomal RNA, 386 nt
Filed under: uncultured bacterium
Lineage: Bacteria
Description: bacterial SSU rRNA
Rfam family: Bacterial small subunit ribosomal RNA
Source: RNAcentral